Molecule: long non-coding RNA, 1771 nt
Organism: Asterias rubens (European starfish)
Lineage: Eukaryota; Metazoa; Echinodermata; Asteroidea; Forcipulatida; Asteriidae
Exons: 7
Source: RefSeq, a predicted model, not a curated record
UCGUGCAGCACAUGAGUGAAUGUUUUUAUGCCUCUCAGACGACGGAAAUGCCCCGAAAUUACAUGUUUUUUUCAUGCACUUGGACAAGUUGGCUAGUUCCAUAAGAAUUGAGAAUUGUGAUCAAGUGAUCCAAACUGCGGUUGUCAGAUCAUCAGUCAAAGUGCCGUCCAGAUUAUCAGAUCAUCAGUCAUAGUGGCAGUCUGUGUCGCACAGAGCAGAAGUGAUGCUGAAGCCUAGUGUCCAGCAAUCUGCGAUAAGACAACUCAUUUAAUUUCCUGUCUACAGAUGAGGUGAUACUGCGGUUGUCAGAUCAUCAGUCAAAGUGCCGUCCAGAUUGUCAGAUCAUCAGUCAUAGUGGCAGUCCGUGUCGCACAGAGCAGAAGUGAUGCUGAAGCCUAGUGUCCAGCAAUCUGCAAUAUGACAACUCAUUCAACUUCCUGUCUACAGAGAUGAACUGAUGAAGAGCCCAGAAAUGUCUGAUCUUCAUUGAUGGAUGGCUGUCAAUCACACUGAGCAGAGGAGUCUCAAUCUAUCACUGAUGAAGUCUUUGAGAGUCUCCAGCAGUCUGCUUUGACAACUCAAUCAACUUCACAUUUAAAGAUGAGGUGAUACUGCGGUUGUCAGAUCAUCAGUCAUAGUGCUGUCCAGAUUGUCAGAUCAUCAGUCAUAGUGGCAGUCCGUGUCGCACAGAGCAGAAGUGAUGCUGAAGCCUAGUGUCCAGCAAUCUGCGAUAUGACAAUUCUUUCAACUUCCUGUCGACAGAUCAACUAAUCCAGACAGUUGAGAGUGUCAGAUCUUCAUUCUACCUCUGCCAUCAAUCAACUUUACAGAUCAACUAAAUACAGACGGAGAGUUUUGGAUAUUCACAAGGAGUUUGCCAACCAUCAUCGAUGCCUCAACCUUUUUGUAUAGUUUGUAAUUAGUUGUAGAUUACUGGUAUAGAUUUAAGGUUGUUAGGUGUGGUGAAUUGAUCACACUCGCCCCUGUGAAAUUCUGCACUUCCCCUGUGUUGUGAAUUUCUUGCACAUCCAACUUGUCUUGUGAAUUUCUCCCACUUCCACUGUGGUGAGUUGCUCAUACUUUCACCUUGUGUCGUGAAUUAUCAAGUUUAUAAACUGAAACGUUGUCUAGGGCUGAGUUGGAAGAAUGUUUCGCUAUCUAGUCUAGCACAUUCAUUUCGCUCAUUUAAUUUAGAUGUAUGCUGAUGUAUGGAGUUGACAAACUUGGUUGCCAUAUAGUGGAGCCGGUAUGGGAAUUUUUCCCCACAGGGGUUUUUGCCCAUCUCAUAUAUCAGCAAUUAGCAGGCAUGCAAUAUCUAAUUUGUACGGUUUUGGUUUUCUCAGCCAUUAAAAAUUUGAAAAACAGCACAAAAUCUUGCUGUGCUAGGAUUUCUGGAAAUGUCAAAUCUUUUUUCAAAAUAUAGAGUUGCAUGACUGAAAUAGGAGACACUUUAGUGUCUAAAUUCUUAGGAGUCAAAAAAAUUUGACCUACCUACAUGUAAUACUAUUUUAUUUAUUUUUUGAAUAUUUUUGUAGAUUAUUCAACGUUUCUGGGUGUGCCAGGGUGCAUCACACUUCCUUUGUGUGUAGAGUACAGACACUUUCCCUUGUGUUACUCUGAGUUGCUCACACUUCCUGUGUGUGUCGAGUACAGACACUUUCCCUUGUGUUACUCUGAGUUUCUCACACUUCCUGUGUGUGUCGAGUACAGACACUUUCCCUUGUGUUACUCUGAGUUACUCGCACUUCCUUUGUGUGUCGAGUACAGACAC